This 75-nucleotide non-coding RNA is filed under the name uncultured eukaryote. The record is from RNAcentral.
GCCUGCGUUGGAUGCUUCUGCGCCUUUCGAACCUUGUUUUGAAACCUGGUUGAUGCAGCUGCGCAGUCUUUUAGA